Molecule: unclassified non-coding RNA, 329 nt
Filed under: soil metagenome
Description: partial contains 5.8S ribosomal RNA, internal transcribed spacer 2, and large subunit ribosomal RNA
Rfam family: 5.8S ribosomal RNA (bases 1-120)
Source: RNAcentral
GAUGAAGAACGCAGCGAAAUGCGAUAAGUAGUGUGAAUUGCAGAAUUCAGUGAAUCAUCGAAUCUUUGAACGCACAUUGCGCCCCUUGGUAUCCCGAGGGGCAUGCCUGUUCGAGCGUCAUUUCACCACUCAAGCCUGGCUUGGUGUUGGGCGACGUCCUCUUUGGGGACGCGCCUCGAAACGCUCGGCGGCGUGGCACCGGCUUUAAGCGUAGCAGAAUCUUUCGCUUUGGAAGUCGGGGCCCCGUCUGCCGGACGACCUGCUCGCAAGGUUGACUUCGGAUCAGGCAGGGAUACCCGCUGAACUUAAGCAUAUCAAUAAGCGGAGGA